This 2439-nucleotide ribosomal RNA is filed under the name Triticum aestivum (bread wheat). RNAcentral's name for it is "partial small subunit ribosomal RNA". Lineage: Eukaryota; Viridiplantae; Streptophyta; Magnoliopsida; Poales; Poaceae. The record is from RNAcentral.
AUGGCGCCGCCCGCCGCUCUCGCCCGGGUCAUAUCCUGCCUCCUCCCCCCGCCCCUCCACCCCCCUCCCAUGCUCUCCACGCGUCUCCUCCGCCACCGCCUCGCCGCCGCCGCUAGCUCCUCCCUUUCGCCCCUCCGCUUCGUCGCCGCCGCCAUGUCCUCCUCCUCCGCCGCGCCCGGCGGCGGCCGGAAGCCGAACCGCCUCGCCGCCGAGCACAGCCCGUACCUGCUGCAGCACGCGCACAACCCGGUUGACUGGUAUCCUUGGGGAGAUGAGGCUUUCGAGAAGGCUCGCAAAUUGGACAUCCCCAUCUUUCUGUCAAUUGGCUAUAGUACAUGCCAUUGGUGUCAUGUAAUGGAGGUGGAGUCUUUUGAGAAUGAAGAAGUUGCUAAGAUUCUAAAUGAUUGGUUUGUUAGCAUCAAGGUGGAUCGUGAAGAGCGGCCAGAUGUUGACAAGGUUUAUAUGACAUAUGUGUCAGCGCUGUACGGAGGUGGUGGUUGGCCUUUGACCGUCUUUUUAUCACCCAACUUAAAACCUUUGAUGGGCGGUACAUACUUUCCACCAGAUGAUAAGUAUGGAAGACCUGGGUUCAAGACUAUUUUAAGGAAGGUCAAGGAAGCCUGGGAUACUAAACGUGAUGCUCUUGAGAAGUCAGGAAAUGUGGUCAUCGAGCAACUUAGAGAUGCAUUAUCUGCCAAGGCUAACUUUCAAGAUGUGCCAAAUGAUGUGGCUGUUCUUUAUGUAGAUCAAUGUGUUGAAAAGUUAGCAAGCAGUUACGACCCAAAGUUUGGUGGAUUUGGCUCUGCUCCCAAGUUUCCAAGACCCGUUGAAGAUUGCAUAAUGCUCUAUAAAUUCCGGAAACACAUGGAAGCUAGGCAGGAGAGUGAAGCCCAAAACAUAAUGAAGAUGGUAACUCAUACACUGCAAUGUAUGGCUAGAGGUGGAGUUCAUGACCAUGUUGGAGGUGGCUUUCAUAGAUAUAGUGUGGAUGAGUGCUGGCAUGUUCCACAUUUUGAGAAGAUGCUGUACGACCAGGGACAGAUAGCCAAUGUAUACUUGGAUACAUAUGUUAUCACGGGAGAUGAGUAUUAUUCUUCAGUUGCACGUGAUAUACUUGAUUACUUGAGGAGAGACAUGAUUGGGGAAGAUGGUGAAAUUUUCUCAGCAGAAGAUGCUGACAGUGCAGAAUAUGAAGGUGCUCCACGAAAAAAAGAGGGUUCUUUCUACGUGUGGACAAGUCAAGAGAUCGAAGACACACUUGGGGAGAAUGCGGAGCUGUUCAAGAACCACUACUAUGUUAAAUCAUCUGGCAAUUGUGACCUUUCGGGGAUGAGUGAUCCUCACAAUGAGUUCAGUGGUAAAAAUGUGUUAAUAGAAAGAAAACCGGGUUCAUUGAUGGCAUCGAAGUAUGGCAAGUCUGUUGAUGAAUAUUAUGGAAUCCUGGGGGAAUGCAGACAAAAGUUGUUUGAUGUCCGAUCAAAAAGGCCAAGACCACAUUUGGACGACAAGGUUAUUGUUUCAUGGAAUGGAUUAGCAAUAUCUGCCUUUGCAAGAGCUUCACAAAUUUUGAAGUCAGGACCACCUGGAACCAAAUUUUAUUUCCCGGUAGCAGGAUGCGAUCCAGUAGAAUAUCUUCAAGUUGCAGAAAAGGCAGCAAACUUUAUAAAGGAAAAACUCUAUGAUGCAAGCUCAAAAAGGCUGCAUCAUAGUUAUCGAAAUGGCCCAGCAAAAGCACCAGGAUUUUUAGAUGAUUAUGCCUUCUUAAUCAAUGCCUUGCUGGAUCUCUAUGAAUAUGGUGGUAAGAUAGAGUGGCUUCUGUGGGCUGUCGAGCUGCAAGUCAUUCAGGAUGAAUUGUUCUUGGACAAACAAGGGGGUGGCUAUUUCAAUACACCUGGAGAAGACCCUUCUGUCCUUUUGCGUGUUAAAGAAGAUUAUGAUGGUGCAGAGCCUUCUGGAAACUCGAUGGCAGCGAUCAACAUGGUCAGAUUGUCCAGUAUAUUUGAUGCUGCAAAAUCUGAAGGCUACAAACGUAAUGUUGAACAUCUCCUGGCGGUUUUUGAGACUAGACUGAAAGAACUUGGCAUAGCAUUGCCACUGAUGUGCUGCGCAGCAGACAUGCUCACUGUUCCGUCAAGGAAGCAGGUAGUGCUGGUGGGGAAUAAAGCAUCUCCAGAAUUUCAAGACAUGGUCGCUGCUGCAUUCUCGUCAUACGACCCAAACAGAACCGUGAUCCAGAUAGAUGCCAGCAACAUGGAAGAGAUGGCAUUCUGGGAGAGCAACAACGCGAACAUCGCGCAGAUGGCACGGAGCAGCCCAUCGGGGAAGCCAGCGGUGGCGCAUGUGUGCCAAGAGUUCAAGUGCAGUCCUCCGGUGACCUCUCCUGGCGCGCUCCGUGAGCUGCUCAGCAAGACGGUGGCUGCUGCGGGUUCAGCUGUUUGA